CCUACGUGUGGCAGCAGUGGGGAAUAUUGGGCAAUGGAGGCAACUCUGACCCAGCAACGCCGCGUGAGUGAUGACGGUCUUCGGAUUGUAAAACUCUUUAAUUGGGGACGAAGAAAGUGACUGUACCCACAGAAUAAGCCUCGGCUACCUACAUGCUAGCCGCCGCGGUAAUACGUAGGAGGCAAGCGUUAUCCGGAAGGACUGGGCGUAAGGGUUGCGUAGGUGGUUGGUCAAGUCAGUAGCGUAAUUCCGGGGCUCAACUUCGGAACUGCUCCUAAAACUGUUGGGCUUGAGUGCAGGAGAGGUGAAUGGAAUUCCUAGUGUAGCAGUGAAAUGCGUAGAUAUUAGGAGGAACACCAGCGGCGAAAGCGAUUCACUGGACUGUAACUGACGCUGAGGCACGAAAGCGUGGGGAGCAAACAGGAUUAGAUACCCCAGUAGUC
Molecule: ribosomal RNA, 443 nt
Filed under: uncultured bacterium
Lineage: Bacteria
Description: partial 16S ribosomal RNA
Rfam family: Bacterial small subunit ribosomal RNA
Source: RNAcentral